GGCGAGCACUUUACCGCUGAGCCACAAUCCCGUCCCAAAACAUAGCCUUUUUUGCAACCCAAAACUCAUUGUUCAUUUUGAGUUUUGAUACAUAUAAGCAGGACUAUU
Small nucleolar RNA from Ictidomys tridecemlineatus (thirteen-lined ground squirrel), 108 nucleotides. The record is from Ensembl. NCBI's taxonomy places the organism in Eukaryota, Metazoa, Chordata, Mammalia, Rodentia, Sciuridae.